RNAcentral lists this unclassified non-coding RNA (769 nucleotides) under Leishmania donovani. RNAcentral describes it as "gene:unknown". Lineage: Eukaryota; Euglenozoa; Kinetoplastea; Trypanosomatida; Trypanosomatidae. The record is from RNAcentral.
UCCUGUAUGGGUGUGCGCUGCUGCUCUCGCCGCCGCUGCUUCGUCCCAGUGUUGGUUGGUCGGUUUGCAUCUGCUCUGUGGGCCCCUUCCACCACCGUCUCCCGUCUUGCUCACCGGUGGCAACGCGCGUAUACAUGCGUUCAUUUUGUUCUCGCGUCUUUUGUCCACCCCAAUUUCGCGUGUGCGGUAUCGGUGCAACAGAAAUUUAUUCUACGUUGUGCGUUGCGUGCGUAUCUUGGCGUUUCAGUCGCUUCUUCGGCGGGAGGGGAAGAGAGAACAGCUAGCUAUUGCUGUAUAUAGUGCCUGUGCGGCUCAGACGCGUUGGCACCGACGUCGUGGCGCUGUUCAGAAAGAGAGACGCUUAGUCAGGAGUGAACAGAGCCAAAAAAAAAAAAGGGCUAACGAUCGGAUGAGGCACACGCGACUUCGUGUAGACACACACAGCAAAGCAUAAGCCAGAGACGAGACCGUUCUCGGUCCCUUCGUGCUCCUCACGUGCAAAGACGCCUUGAGCUCGCCGAUACUUUCCUUUUUCCUUCCUCAGUCUAGACUUCCAGAGUACCGUGCGCCGCGUUGCUUCGUCAGAGUCAGGUGGUGUGCUCCCACGUUGCCACAGGGCGGCAUCUCCGCCGGCGCCGGCGUCUCCCGUGCGCACCUGUCGAUCCCCGUAAGCUUGAUUGCCUUUGUCGCCCUGCCUUUCCCGCCCUCCUCGCUUCGUCCUACCGCUCUCUGGCGCGGGCCCCGUACACGGGAAAACGAAAAAAAAAAG